Long non-coding RNA from Panicum virgatum (switchgrass), 636 nucleotides. RefSeq lists it as uncharacterized. NCBI's taxonomy places the organism in Eukaryota, Viridiplantae, Streptophyta, Magnoliopsida, Poales, Poaceae. The transcript has 2 exons. The record is from RefSeq and is a predicted model, not a curated record.
GGCAGCUCACCGUCGACACUCGACGCCCGUGUACCUGCAACCAAAGACCAAGCGCACGAUCACACCGCACGGUUGACAAUUCACUCAUCACAAGCAGGAUAGAGUACUCAACAUUUCUCAGUCAUCCUCCUGGAUAUCGUUGGCCUCAGUAUGUGCAGAUCUAAACCUCCUGAACACCACCACCCUAAGUAUGAAUGGGCUUGGGAGGCUUGGGAAGCAGGACUAACAGAGGAGUUGUUUGAUCCGUCAUUGUUUGACGGGUCUCAGGGAAUGGAGAUCAUUAGAAGGUGGGUGCAGGUAGGACUGCUGUGCGUUGAGGAAAAACAGGGCAGACCGGCCCACCAUUGCGGAUGUUCUUGAGAUGCUAAAUGGCAAGAAAGAGUUGCCGACACCAAGGAAAAUAGCCUACUACGUGCCUGGUCAGACGGAUCGUUGAGCCCCCGUCUCCUCGCUAGCUUGUAUUACGCCACUGCUCUUGGCAUUACUACAAUAUCAUGUGCCUCAUCAUUCUUCUAUUUUCAAAUUACAUGUUGAAGAAAACCACUCGAGGAGUGUUAAUCAACAAAUUCCAGUGCGGCCUCUGCGAACACGAAUUUGUCAACUCGGUGUGAAGAACAAAGAUACAAGCUUCACCAA